Misgurnus anguillicaudatus (oriental weatherfish) is the source of this 1542-nucleotide non-coding RNA. Lineage: Eukaryota; Metazoa; Chordata; Actinopteri; Cypriniformes; Cobitidae. The record is from RefSeq and is a predicted model, not a curated record.
UAAAGAAGACCUGACAUGGAUGACUUCCAAUGAGAAACGACUGCUAAUACUUAUAUAAAUUCAUUACAGAAGGUAAGUUUAUAUAUUUAUACAUAUAAAUCAUUUUAUUUGACAUAACUGAACAGUUAACCAAUCUUUUUAGUAUAUGUAGUUUUGUACAUAUUAUGGUUAUUAAUCAGGCAAGAAAGUGACAUGACCUGCUGCCAACUUUAAUAAAAAUAUAUUAUCUUCUCAUACAUCGUUUUGCUAUUGAUAUCAUAUUAAAUAGCAAUCAAAUUGAUUACUAUUUUGAAAAUGUAUAAUUGAAGAUUCAUAUUGUCUUGAGUGCUGUUUUUAAUAUAAAAAGAAUGUUGAGUUUUCAGAGUCUUUAUUGUCAUUUUUUUGUGAUAGGACCCUACCAGACUAUAUUUGAAUACGGCAUACCCAUGAAUUCUGGAACUGUUCUUUCUUAACCCAGUUUGGAGGAUAAGAGCUUACCAACUAGUUAUAAAUAUGCUGAGGUGAUGUAUUGCAAAAUAGCCAACAUACAACAAUGAAAGGAUAAUUGCAGCCUAUAUCCUGAUGAAGAUAUGGAUGACCCUCUGUCUGGUCAACAGGAGUUUAAAUAUGGACGGGACAGUUAUGUGGCAGCUCUUCCCUGACUCAUUCACCUCUUGCCUUCAUUUGUGAAAGGAAGAAAGACUGGAGAGGGUCAAUGUGCAACUGAAGCUACUGAUUGUGCUGUGUGAUGAGCAUCAAUCCAUGCUUUGAGGUGGAUGGAUCAGCACAGCCCUGCCUGCUCUGCGUUGGGAACAAAAGUUGCAUCCAGAAUUUUUGCAUCAUUCUGGACCAAAAAGCCAUUCCCUCCAUGAUGAAGACCACUGAUGCAGCCUUCCACUACUGUACAGUAAAACAACUACAGAACUAAAUACCAGGUUGGAACGUGUUUAAGAAAAAUGAAACGUCUUUUGAAUUGAAAUGUCUGUUUUGUUAUGGAAAAAUCUUUAGUAUUGUGAAGGAUAAGCAUUUCUGCUUGCCGAUAAGGUAAUUGCAGUGUAUUUUAAUGUUCAAGUUUUGAGUAGGGUGGCUAAUUUUUUUUAACUCUUAUUUGAUUUAUUAAAGACCUUUAUAAUAAGUGGUUUUCAUGUCACUGCGCUGUGGUAUAAGAUAACUUUCAUUAUUCCAUACUGUAUUCUGUUUCUAGUUGUAUCUGAGGUAUUUAAAUUAGCAGUGUUAAAUGCUAAGUGUUGUGUGUAUCAAUGUAAAUAUUAAAUGUGAUUUACUUUAAUAAAAAGAGGUUUUGCAAUAUUUCUUGUCAUUUUUCUUUUAUAGAAACAACCCAUUAGCAACAAAAGUGGCUAUUACUCAGUAUUUUAACACUUAACAUUGUUGAAUUCACAUUACACUGGUGUUGACCUUAAAUUAGGAGUGUUAAUUUUUAACACUGUAUUUCUGUGCCAACACCAGUGUAGUGUGGAAACAACAAUGAAUAGUGUUGAACAAAGUGUAAAAUUUAACAAUAUUGAGUGUUAAAUUGACACAUAAUGGGUGUUGUUAAAUUAA